CCAAUAGCGUAUAUUAAAGUUGUUGCAGUUAAAAAGCUCGUAGUUGAAUUUCGGGGUUAGUAGGUUGGUCAUGCCUCUGGUAUGUACUGGUCUCACUGAUUCCUCCUUCCUUAUGAACCGUAAUGCCAUUAAUUUGGUGUUGCGGGGAAUUUGGACUGUUACUUUGAAAAAAUUAGAGUGUUUAAAGCAAGCUAACGCUUGAAUACAUUAGCAUGGAAUAAUGAGAUAGGACGUUCGAUCUUAUUUUGUUGGUUUCUAGGAUUGACGUAAUGAUUAAUAGUGAUAGUUGGGGGCAUUAGUAUUCAAUUGUCAGAGGUGAAAUUCUUGGAUUUAUUGAAGACUAACUACUGCGAAAGCAUUUGCCAAGGAUGUUUUCAUUAAUCAAGAACGAAAGUUAGGGGAUCGAAGACGAUCAGAUACCGUCGUAGUCUUAACCAUAAACUAUGCCGACUAGGGAUCGGAUGAUGUUAAUUUUUUAAUGACUCAUUCGGCGCCUUACG
Molecule: ribosomal RNA, 500 nt
Filed under: uncultured Glomeromycotina
Lineage: Eukaryota; Fungi; Glomeromycota
Description: partial small subunit ribosomal RNA
Rfam family: Eukaryotic small subunit ribosomal RNA
Source: RNAcentral